Long non-coding RNA from Clupea harengus (Atlantic herring), 927 nucleotides. Lineage: Eukaryota; Metazoa; Chordata; Actinopteri; Clupeiformes; Clupeidae. The record is from Ensembl.
CCCCCACGAUGAAAUGGCUUAUAUAGACAGACCAACAAGCCAACUCUUCACUUCACUGAGCAAGUGUGUCUUGCAGUUGUCUUUGGAGAGAUAUAACAGAGAACAUGGCACGCAAACUCUUUCUAAUCCUCGCGCUCUUUCUCCUGGUGGGGAGUCUGACUGCGCAGUUGUCAGAUGAAGAUGGCAUCAUCCUGUCUGAACUGUACAACAGCCCAGCAGAGGAGCUGGGAGCUGCUGAGGCACUGGCGCGCGUCAAGCGUGGCUUUCUCGGCCGGCUCUUUAAAAAAGUAAAGAAAAUCUUUCGUGGUCGUGGUGGUGGUGAGGCUGGUGAUGCUAAGCAGGAAGCCCCGCAAGAGUAACCCCCAUCAUGCAUUCAUUGCCACCCCUGUGAGCCAACAGAGAGGCAUCAAGGCAUCGAGGCAGCUCCACUCUUUCAGAGAGAGAAUCUGAAUGCCACGAAGCUCUCCUGUUUGUAAACAAAUAAAGAUGUUCUGCAGCAUUUACCUCUCUGUGCUCAUGGUUUAGAAAGUUUGCGAAUCCGUCAGACAUUUAUGGAAAUCUACAUGAAUUUUACCUAAAAUGUGACGAUCUAUGUCAUAAAAAAGAGAAGCUGAAGAAACAUUAAUCACCAAAGUAUCCAACAUUUAAUGGCUCCUUAAAAUAUUGUAAUCCCCUCCUUUAAAAGCUACAGUUUGCAACAAGUUGCCACUUUUUAGGCAUGUUUUUAUAGGCAACUAGUACUGGCAUCAUUUUCAAAUGACUUUUGAUGGUAUAUGGUCAUGUGAAAGACAGAUAAACACUAGGUAUGGGGCACCAAGUGUAACAGACCUUGUUUACAGAACCCAUUCUGUGCUGCAAUAGGCAUUCAUUACAUACGAAGCCAUAUAAUACCAUAAUGCAUUUUCUCCACAAAAAACAAACCUGUUA